Molecule: unclassified non-coding RNA, 587 nt
Filed under: Hevea brasiliensis (rubber tree)
Lineage: Eukaryota; Viridiplantae; Streptophyta; Magnoliopsida; Malpighiales; Euphorbiaceae
Source: RNAcentral
GGAACACUGAAAUGGACCUAUAUUUAAGCUGCGUAUUCAAAUGAAGACUACAAAUUUUGAACCUACAAAAACAUGAAUUCACAAUGGUCUUGUCUCUCUUGCUAUUGAUACAAUAGGCGCGUUUUCUAUCGUAAAAAGAUUCAUCAAAAUAGGAAAUAAAUCUAAAUUUAUUUUUUUGCUUUGUUCUAUAAACCAAAUGUGUCAAGCAGCUGCAAUUACUGUUUUUGGCUUUUCAAUCAGAAGUCCAUGCCACCCAUACCACCACCCAUACCGCCACCCAUUGCAGGAGAUUCCUUCUCGUCCUUAGGAAGCUCGACAACAACUGCUUCAGUUGUGGUCAAAAGAGACGAGACACUGGCAGCAUCGACCAAAGCUGUCCUGAUCACUUUCACUGGAUCGAUGAUUCCUGCCUUUAUCAUAUCUACAUAUUCACCCUUGGCCGCAUCAUAUCCAAGAUCAAGGUUGUCCUGAUCCAACAAUUUGCCAACCACGACAGCACCCUCUACUCCUGCGUUAGAGGCUAUUGUAUGUACUGGCGUCUUCAGAGCAUUCUGAAUAAUUUGUACACCAAUCUUCUGGUCAAAGUU